RNAcentral lists this ribosomal RNA (301 nucleotides) under uncultured bacterium. RNAcentral describes it as "partial 16S ribosomal RNA". It matches the Rfam family "Bacterial small subunit ribosomal RNA", at positions 509 to 807 of the family's 1533-position model. The record is from RNAcentral.
CAGUCGCCACGGGAAUACGAAGGGGGCUAGCGUUGCUCGGAAUUACUGGGCGUAAAGGGCGCGUAGGCGGACAGUUCAGUCGGGGGUGAAAGCCCGGGGCUCAACCUCGGAAUUGCCUUCGAUACUGGCUGUCUUGAGUAUGAGAGAAGUGUGUGGAACUCCGAGUGUAGAGGUGAAAUUCGUAGAUAUUCGGAAGAACACCAGUGGCGAAGGCGGCUUACUGGCUCAUACUGGACGCUGAGGUGCGAAAGCGUGGGGAGCAAACAGGAUUAGAUACCCCAGUAGUCCCUGUCUCUUAUAC